AGCAGCCGCGGUAAUUCCAGCUCCAAUAGCGUAUAUUAAAGUUGUUGCAGUUAAAAAGCUCGUAGUUGAAUUUCGGGAUCAGAUUGUCGGUCGUGCCUCGGUACGCACUGGCAUUAUUGGUUCCUACCUUCUGAAGAACCGCGAUGUCAUUAAUUUGGUGUCGUGGGGAAUCAGGACUGUUACUUUGAAAAAAUUAGAGUGUUUAAAGCAGGCGCACGCUUGAAUACAUUAGCAUGGAAUAAUGAAAUAGGACGUUUGAUUCUAUUUUGUUGGUUUCUAGGAUCGACGUAAUGAUUAAUAGGGAUAGUUGGGGGCAUUAGUAUUCAAUUGUCAGAGGUGAAAUUCUUGGAUUUAUUGAAGACUAACUACUGCGAAAGCAUUUGCCAAGGAUGUUUUCAUUAAUCAAGAACGAAAGUUAGGGGAUCGAAGACGAUCAGAUACCGUCGUAGUCUUAACCAUAAACUAUGCCGACUAGGGAUCGGAUGAUGUUAAUUUUAUAAUGACUCA
This 507-nucleotide ribosomal RNA is filed under the name uncultured Glomus. RNAcentral describes it as "SSU rRNA". It matches the Rfam family "Eukaryotic small subunit ribosomal RNA", at positions 569 to 1078 of the family's 1831-position model. Lineage: Eukaryota; Fungi; Glomeromycota; Glomeromycetes; Glomerales; Glomeraceae. The record is from RNAcentral.